Molecule: long non-coding RNA, 337 nt
Organism: Herpailurus yagouaroundi (jaguarundi)
Lineage: Eukaryota; Metazoa; Chordata; Mammalia; Carnivora; Felidae
Exons: 3
Source: RefSeq, a predicted model, not a curated record
AUAAGAAGCUAAGAACUGUUAAAAGAUUAACUGAAACAUAUUAAAAAAUGUUAGACUUUGAGCAAAAAUCUGUUUGGAUGUGGCAGCUACAAACUGAAAGUGGUUAGGAGGGUUCUGGUUGCAGGAGCCAGGAGAAAGACUUAAACAGACAAAGUGCAGAAGCAAAGAAUGAAGAUACACAGUGGAAAGACUCAAAAUCACAAGGCCAUGAUGUUGGUAAACAGCCAUAAACUCAAAACAAUGAGUGACCUAUCUUUCUGGAAAAAAAAAAAAAGUGAAGUUAAAUUUCUACAGAUGAAUCAGAGAGAGACAGAGCAUGAACGGGGGAGGGGCAGAG